GGCGGGGUGGCCGAAUGUUCAGGCGGCGGAUUGUAGUCCCGUAAACGGAGGUUUAAUUCCUCUCCACGUCA
RNAcentral lists this transfer RNA (71 nucleotides) under Psettina iijimae. RNAcentral's name for it is "tRNA-Tyr". It matches the Rfam family "tRNA". Rfam says of the family: Transfer RNA (tRNA) molecules are approximately 80 nucleotides in length. Their secondary structure includes four short double-helical elements and three loops (D, anti-codon, and T loops). Further hydrogen bonds mediate the characteristic L-shaped molecular structure. tRNAs have two regions of fundamental functional importance: the anti-codon, which is responsible for specific mRNA codon recognition, and the 3' end, to which the tRNAs corresponding amino acid is attached (by aminoacyl-tRNA synthetases). tRNAs cope with the degeneracy of the genetic code in two manners: having more than one tRNA (with a specific anti-codon) for a particular amino acid; and 'wobble' base-pairing, i.e. permitting non-standard base-pairing at the 3rd anti-codon position. The record is from RNAcentral. Lineage: Eukaryota; Metazoa; Chordata; Actinopteri; Pleuronectiformes; Bothidae.